RNAcentral lists this long non-coding RNA (271 nucleotides) under Hordeum vulgare. RNAcentral's name for it is "long non-coding RNA (HVUL_LNC000748)". The record is from RNAcentral. Lineage: Eukaryota; Viridiplantae; Streptophyta; Magnoliopsida; Poales; Poaceae.
UCCAGUAGUGAUUAGCUUCAGUAAUACGUAUGUGCAUCAGGUUACACUUAUUAUUGUGUAUCGGGGAACAAAAAAUUUCUCCCAGCGACAUCUUCCAUUCAGAUAGCCUUUUUAGCAGGAGCCUGUAGUCAAUUUGGGCAUGGAAAUCGUGAACCUUUUGGCAGUAGGCCCUAGAAGGCAGAAGUUAAUUGAUGUAGGAAGACGACAACCAGCCAUGCGAGCCAGAACUCAAUUUAUCGCUCAAACACACAACCGCACACGCAGAAACGAC